CAAAUUUUAUAUUUUUUUACUAAAAACAAAAAAAAUUAUUAAAAAAAAAGUUGGGUUUUUCGCGCGCGGCCCGGGGCGUAAGCCCCCCGGCGGCCAGUUAAGGCGGGCCCGCCGAAGCAACAAGGUAAAAAUAAACCACGGUGGGAGGUUGGACCCAGAGGGCCCUCACUCGGUAAUUCCGUAGGUGAACCUGCGGAAGGAUCAUUA
RNAcentral lists this ribosomal RNA (207 nucleotides) under Penicillium chrysogenum. Its description in RNAcentral is "partial 18S ribosomal RNA". Lineage: Eukaryota; Fungi; Ascomycota; Eurotiomycetes; Eurotiales; Aspergillaceae. The record is from RNAcentral.